Molecule: ribosomal RNA, 233 nt
Filed under: uncultured bacterium
Lineage: Bacteria
Description: partial 16S ribosomal RNA
Rfam family: Bacterial small subunit ribosomal RNA
Source: RNAcentral
UGGGCAACCUGCCCCUCUCUCUGGGAUAACCCCGGGAAACCGGAGCUAAUACCGGAUACUCCGGCUGGAUCGCAUGGUCCGGCCGGGAAAGGUCCGCCCGGAGAGGGACGGGCCCGCGGCCUAUCAGCUUGUUGGUGGGGUAAUGGCCUACCAAGGCGACGACGGGUAGCCGGCCUGAGAGGGCGACCGGCCACACUGGGACUGAGACACGGCCCAGACUCCUACGGGAGGCA